AGUGAACGCUGGCGGUAGGCCUAACACAUGCAAGUCGAACGGCAGCACAGUAAGAGCUUGCUCUUACGGGUGGCGAGUGGCGGACGGGUGAGGAAUACAUCGGAAUCUACUUUUUCGUGGGGGAUAACGUAGGGAAACUUACGCUAAUACCGCAUACGACCUACGGGUGAAAGCAGGGGAUCUUCGGACCUUGCGCGAUUGAAUGAGCCGAUGUCGGAUUAGCUAGUUGGCGGGGUAAAGGCCCACCAAGGCGACGAUCCGUAGCUGGUCUGAGAGGAUGAUCAGCCACACUGGAACUGAGACACGGUCCAGACUCCUACGGGAGGCAGCAGUGGGGAAUGUUGGACAAUGGGCGCAAGCCUGGUCCAGCCAUACCGCGUGGGUGAAGAAGGCCUUCGGGUUGUAAAGCCCUUUUGUUGGGAAAGAAAAGCAGCAGGUUAAUACCCCGCUGUUCUGACGGUACCCAAAGAAUAAGCACCGGCUAACUUCGUG
This 492-nucleotide ribosomal RNA is filed under the name uncultured bacterium. RNAcentral's name for it is "partial 16S ribosomal RNA". It matches the Rfam family "Bacterial small subunit ribosomal RNA", at positions 29 to 507 of the family's 1533-position model. The record is from RNAcentral.